This 21-nucleotide non-coding RNA is filed under the name Arabidopsis thaliana (thale cress). Lineage: Eukaryota; Viridiplantae; Streptophyta; Magnoliopsida; Brassicales; Brassicaceae. The record is from RNAcentral.
UAAUAAAAGUGGAAUGCGGGC